GUAGGGUACGUUUAACAAUCCCUUCCCCCUUAAAAACACCCGUGACAUUUGCUAACAUAGUUUCUAGUGAACCUGCGGAAGGAUCAUUACCGAGUAAGGGUCUUCCAGGCCCGACCUCCAACCCUUGCUUAACCAACCACGUUGCUUUGGCGGGCCCGCCCUCUGGGGCCGCCGGGGGCUUUACCGCCCCUGGCCCGUGCCCGCCGGUAGCCAUCUUAAAUUCUGAUAACUGUGCCGUCUGAGUAUAGAU
This 250-nucleotide unclassified non-coding RNA is filed under the name plant metagenome. RNAcentral describes it as "partial contains small subunit ribosomal RNA, internal transcribed spacer 1, and 5.8S ribosomal RNA". The record is from RNAcentral.